RNAcentral lists this long non-coding RNA (376 nucleotides) under Chloebia gouldiae (Gouldian finch). Its description in RNAcentral is "Erythrura gouldiae (Gouldian finch) lncRNA (ENSEGOG00005002774.1)". Lineage: Eukaryota; Metazoa; Chordata; Aves; Passeriformes; Passeridae. The record is from RNAcentral.
CAAAAAAUCAGGAGAAAGCAAGAGAGGAGCUGGUUUCAGUCAUGCUGAAAAGGAAAAAAAAAAUCAACACUUUCUGGUUUUGUGAAAAUACAGGACUAAGUAGAGAAGGAAGCCCCUCUUCGCUUACCCUCUGCAGGACUGACUACAAGAGCUCGGCUGCUAUUAGGCAUCAGAAACCCACAUGGCUGAGUCCCUUCCUGGGCUUCAUUGCUUCUGCUCCACAGGAACUCACUCAGGUAUUAAGUGAAUUUUCUCAUCCUUCCCUUUAUAAAGCUAGUGCUUCACUGUAACAGCAAUAAUGACAUAUUUCACCUGAAAUGUGAUGCUUAUGAGAGCCUAGUUUGAAAUAAAGAUUAUAAAAAUGUAAUGUCUAGCA